This 1362-nucleotide long non-coding RNA is filed under the name Salmo salar (Atlantic salmon). Its description in RNAcentral is "lncRNA (ENSSSAG00000097875.1)". The record is from RNAcentral. Lineage: Eukaryota; Metazoa; Chordata; Actinopteri; Salmoniformes; Salmonidae.
GUUGAUGAUAAUGGAGCUAAGUGUAUGGCCAAUAGUGAGAGGUCAUGAGUAGUGGGCUGAUAUUAACUCCAGGUACCAGGGCAUCACCCAUCUGCAACCUGGCAGACAAACAUUAUCAUCUGUAUGUUUACCAAGAGUAGGACAGAAAACCUAGUGUGGAUGUAGGGUGGAUGUAGGGUGGAUGUAGUGUAGAUGUAGUGUGGAUGUAGAUGUAGUGUAGAUGUAGUGUAGAUGUAGUGUGGAUGUAGAUGUAGUGUGGAUGUAGUGCGGAUGUAGAUGUAGUGUGGAUGUAGUGUGGAUGUAGAUGUAGUGUGGAUGUAGUGUGGAUGUAGUGCGGAUGUAGAUGUAGUGUAGAUGUAGUGUGGAUGUAGUGUGGAUGUAGAUGUAGUGUGGAUGUAGUGUGGAUGUAGUGUGAAUGUAGAUGUAAUGUAGUGUGGAUGUAGAUGUAGUGUAGAUGUAGUGUGGAUGUAGUGUGGAUGUAGAUGUAGUGUAGAUGUAGUGUGGAUGUAGUGUUGAUGUAGUGUGGAUGUAGAUGUAGUGUGGAUGUAGUGUGGAUGUAGAUGUAGUGUGGAUGUAGUGUGGAUGUAGUGCGGAUGUAGAUGUAGUGUAGAUGUAGUGUGGAUGUAGUGUGGAUGUAGUGUAGUGUGGAUGUAGUGCGGAUGUAGAUGUAGUGUGGAUGUAGAUGUAGUGUGGAUGUAGAUGUAGUGUGGAUGUAGUGUGGAUGUAGAUGUAGUGUGGAUGUAGUGUGGAUGUAGAUGUAGUGUGGAUGUGAUGUAGUGUGGAUGUAGGGUGGAUGUAGUGUGGAUGUAGUGGGCAUGUAGGGUGGAUGUAGUGUGCAUGUAGGGUGGAUGUAGAUGUAGUGUGGAUGUAGUGUGGAUGUAGAUGUAGUGUAGAUGUAGUGUAGAUGUAGGGUGGAUGUAGUGUAGAUCUAGUGUGGAUGUAGAUGUAGUGUAGAUGUAGUGUGGAUGUAGUGUGGAUGUAGAUGUAGUGUGGAUGUAGUGUGGAUGUAGUGUGGAUGUAGAUGUAGUGUAGAUGUAGUGUGGAUGUAGUGUGGAUGUAGAUGUAGUGUAGAUGUAGUGUGGAUGUAGUGUGGAUGUAGAUGUAGUGUAGAUGUAGUGUGGAUGUAGUGUUGAUGUAGUGUGGAUGUAGAUGUAGUGUGGAUGUAGUGUGGAUGUAGUGUGGAUGUAGAUGUAGUGUGGAUGUAGUGCGGAUGUAGAUGUAGUGUAGAUGUAGUGUGGAUGUAGUGUGGAUGUAGUGUAGUGUGGAUGUAGUGCGGAUGUAGAUGUAGUGUGGAUGUAGAUGUAGUGUGGAUGUAGAUGUAGUGUGGAUGUAGUGUGGAUGUAGAUGUAAUGUGGAUGUAGU